CUCCUCUCAGGGUCGUACCUGGAGAGUUUCCAGUCCUCUACCGGUCUCGACUGUGGGAGGGAGAGUCAAGCAGAGGCCAACCCAUUCCAUUCCGAGCCCGGCUCAUGGCUAGCGAGUGGAAGGCAAUCUGUUACAAGU
Small nucleolar RNA from Ornithorhynchus anatinus (platypus), 138 nucleotides. NCBI's taxonomy places the organism in Eukaryota, Metazoa, Chordata, Mammalia, Monotremata, Ornithorhynchidae. The record is from RefSeq and is a predicted model, not a curated record.